Molecule: ribosomal RNA, 406 nt
Filed under: uncultured Anaerolineaceae bacterium
Lineage: Bacteria; Bacillati; Chloroflexota; Anaerolineae; Anaerolineales; Anaerolineaceae
Description: bacterial SSU rRNA
Rfam family: Bacterial small subunit ribosomal RNA
Source: RNAcentral
UAAGGGAUAUUGCGCUAAUGGGCGAAAGCCUGACGCAGCAACGCCGCGUACGGGAUGACGGCCUUCGGGUUGUAAACCGUUUUACGGGGAGAAGAGGGAGGACGGUAUCCCCGCAACAAGUCUCGGCUAACUACGUGCCAGCAGCCGCGGUAAAACGUAGGAGGCGAGCGUUAUCCGGAUUUACUGGGUGUAAAGCGCGUGUAGGCGGUGGUGGAAGUCGUGUGUGAAAGCGCCUGGCUCAACCGGGCGAGGUCAUGCGACACUCCACGACUGGAGGCAGGUAGAGGCGGGUGGAAUUCCGGGUGUAGUGGUGAAAUGCGUAGAGAUCCGGAGGAACACCAGUGGCGAAGGCGACCCGCUGGGCCUGACCUGACGCUCAGACGCGACAGCACGGGGAGCGAACGGG